This is a long non-coding RNA of Larimichthys crocea (large yellow croaker), 134 nucleotides long. RefSeq lists it as uncharacterized. Lineage: Eukaryota; Metazoa; Chordata; Actinopteri; Sciaenidae. The transcript has 3 exons. The record is from RefSeq and is a predicted model, not a curated record.
AGCUUGCUAUUCCCCAGCAAACCGAAGGGACUGUCUCAGCACCAGGAACCCUGCCACCUUCUGAGACCUCCUCUUCUGCUCAUACACCUGAACCACCACACACUGGUUCUUCGGUUGUUGAUGUUGUUCCCCCA